Molecule: non-coding RNA, 1789 nt
Organism: Elaeis guineensis (African oil palm)
Lineage: Eukaryota; Viridiplantae; Streptophyta; Magnoliopsida; Arecales; Arecaceae
Source: RefSeq, a predicted model, not a curated record
CCCCGUAAACCUUUUUGUAUUUCCCCUCCCUCUCCUCAUCAGUGAUUUGGAUUUGGAAGUGCCUGAUGAAGGGAAUUGUUAAGAAAAUAUGUGGUGAAAUGCCUGUAGAAGAUUGCUCAGUGCGGCCCUUAUUUGCAUGUGCUAUAACUAGUUGCUUUGCUCCAAGGUUUCAGGUGGAGGUUUUUGUGGAUCAUAGCCAUGAUGAGAGCCCGAUUUUUGAGCUGUUAGAUUUGAAACAUAAGGUUGGAGAUGAUGGAAGUGCUGCCUGAUUUUUACGUGACGUUGCCCAUGAACAAGAUGCUGCAGAAACCAUGGCCAUAUCAAAAGGAAGACGAGCAAGGGAGGCACAGAAUGUUGUGCAGCCAUUUAAAUGAAAGCACCAGGACUGUAGGAGCUGGUCCAGCUGUACCAGCUGCACAAUCUGGAUGUCUGCCGGUAGCUGAGUUCUUCAAGCUCGCUGUCACCAACUUUAAUGUCCAUGACUGGAGUCUUUUUGGCUAAGGGGCUGGAAAAAAUAAAAGCAGAUAGGUAUGUGGGUUAUUUUAUGAACAAGAUGUUACCAUCUCUUCUACCCUGUGGCCUUUCUUCUAGAAAUGGGCUAAAUGUCUGUGCCUCAUGUGAAGCAUAUCUUGGUCGUAUUUUAGAACUGUUGAAAGCCUGAAGGUAUGUACAGAAUUGCAAUUUAUUCUAAAUAGGGCCAUGUUUUCAGUAGUGCACAGUGUCUAAUGCAUAAUAUGAACGGCCAGAGGGUCCUAGCUGAAGUUCAUCUGGUGCUUAUGAAUUUUCCUAGAUGCAUGUCUAUAAUAAGGAGAGAGUAUUUCACCAAAGGGAGGAGAUAUUCUUCCAAUCUGGUAUUGCAGGCCAGCUGUAACAGGUUACCUGCUAACAAUUGGGCCAUAAUCUCCAUGUAAAUUGAUUUUGUACUACCACAUUCAUUCAUCAAUGUUUUGCUUCAUAUAUUAAUUAUCAGUUAUUACAUUGUCUUACCAGACACUGUCAGUGAACUAUGAUAACUUGUUUGAAAUUUUACAUUUAACUAGUAGACAUUACUGCUCUUUGCUGCACCAAUUGCUGCUUUUUUUCCCCAUCACAUUCAUUUGUAGUUUAAACGUUAGGACAUGUACUACAUGACAGUAAAGAGGAAAUUUGCUAUGGGAAUCUUUAGCUAAAUCCAUGGAAUGAAAACCCAAUUCUAACAGCUGGAAAGAUGAAUUGUUGCAGUGGAGGAGUUGGGGAAAAGCAGGAUAUUUUUCUUCUGACAUCAAAAUUCCGCAGGGUACUUGGUUCAGUUCAUUUCAAUUUCCUUCAAUUAGUUGUUGAUGAAUUCCAAAACUUGGUUGACUUCAAUUGACUCACAAAUGCUGCAUCAUCUGGUACAUCACUUCAACUGAUGGGUAUAGUUGCAGAUGAAAACUAAUUCACCCAGGUAGAUAAGAACAGUGCCCGAAUGUCAUGAUGAGGCUACAAAUCUUUCCACUGGUUUUGAACUGCAGCUCUCAAUUAGAGAGAUGGUUUGGUAUGCCAUAUCGUCAGCUUUGUUGCUGUUGUUUUUGCUGUCACUGCUGUCUAUUAUUAGUGCUGUUGCUGCUUCUGUCAUUAUUGUAUUUGCUAAUGACAUCAAAGUUACCGUGCUGGGCCCAGAUGAAGAGCUCUAUUCCUGAUAGGGUCGAAAGUGGUAGGCCCUAUCUAUUGUCAGUUGCGAGCUUUCAUGGGCCUCGCACCCGAUCUAUUUGAGUUGUGGGUUCCAUUGCUUCUUCUGAGCUGGUUCCAAUCAUAUAUGUUUAAAGAU